This 292-nucleotide ribosomal RNA is filed under the name uncultured bacterium. Its description in RNAcentral is "partial 16S ribosomal RNA". It matches the Rfam family "Bacterial small subunit ribosomal RNA", at positions 505 to 796 of the family's 1533-position model. The record is from RNAcentral.
GUGUCAGCAGCCGCGGUAAUACGAGAGGCCCAAACGUUAUUCGGAAUCACUGGGCUUAAAGAGUUCGUAGGCGGCGCGGAAAGUGGGGUGUGAAAGCCCUCGGCUCAACCGAGGAAUUGCGCUCCAAACUGUCGCGCUUGAGGAAGCUAGAGGUAAGCAGAACUGAUGGUGGAGCGGUGAAAUGCGUUGAUAUCAUCAGGAAUACCGGAGGCGAAGGCGGCUUACUGGGACUUUUCUGACGCUGAGGAACGAAAGCUAGGGGAGCAAACGGGAUUAGAUACCCCAGUAGUCC